GAUGAACGCUGACAGAAUGCUUAACACAUGCAAGUCCACUUGAACUUCGUUUUGGGUGUCGCACGUGUGAGUAACGCGUAAAGAACUUUCCUCACAGAUAGGGACACCAUUUGGAAACGAAUGCUAAUACCUGAUAUUAUGAUUUUAUGGCUUCGUAUAAUUAUGAAAGCUUUAUGCGAUGUGAGAUAGCUUUGCGUCCCUUUAGCUAGUUGGCGCGGUAACGUCUCACCAUGGCGAUGAUGGGUAGCCGGCCUGAGAGGGUGAUCGGCCACAAGGGGACUGAGACACGGCCGUAACGACUACGGGAGGCAGCAGUGGGGAAUAUUGGAGAAUGGACCAAGAGGCGGAGAAAGCAAUUCUGUGUGAAAGAUGAAGUUUUUGGGAAUGUAAAGGGUUUGCAGUUGGAAAGAAAAAAAUGACGGUACCAACAGAAGAAGGGACGGCUAAAUACGUG
RNAcentral lists this ribosomal RNA (454 nucleotides) under uncultured bacterium. RNAcentral's name for it is "partial 16S ribosomal RNA". It matches the Rfam family "Bacterial small subunit ribosomal RNA", at positions 28 to 507 of the family's 1533-position model. The record is from RNAcentral.